RNAcentral lists this ribosomal RNA (647 nucleotides) under uncultured Verrucomicrobium sp. RNAcentral describes it as "bacterial SSU rRNA". It matches the Rfam family "Bacterial small subunit ribosomal RNA", at positions 418 to 1053 of the family's 1533-position model. Lineage: Bacteria; Pseudomonadati; Verrucomicrobiota; Verrucomicrobiia; Verrucomicrobiales; Verrucomicrobiaceae. The record is from RNAcentral.
UCGGCCCGUAAACCCCUGUCAUUUGCGAACAAGUGUCAUGCGUGAACAACGCAUGGCUUGAUUGUAGCGAAAGAGGAAGGGGACGGCUAACUCUGUGCCAGCAGCCGCGGUAAUACAGAGGUCCCAAGCGUUGUUCGGAUUCACUGGGCGUAAAGGGUGCGCAGGUGGGCUGGUAAGUUCGAUGUGAAAGCCCCGGGCUUAACCCGGGAAUGGCAUUGGAUACUACUGGUCUGGAGGAUCGGAGGGGGGACUGGAAUUCUUGGUGUAGCAGUGAAAUGCGUAGAUAUCAAGAGGAACACCAGUGGCGAAGGCGAGUCCCUGGACGAUACCUGACACUGAGGCACGAAAGCCAAGGGAGCAAACAGGAUUAGAUACCCUGGUAGUCUUGGCUGUAAACGGUGCGCAUUUGCUGUAAACGGAAUCGACCCCGUUUGUGGCGAAGCUAACGCGAUAAAUGCGCCGCCUGGGAAGUACGGUCGCAAGAUUAAAACUCAAAGAAAUUGACGGGGGCCUGCACAAGCGGUGGAGUAUGUGGCUUAAUUCGAUGCAACGCGAAGAACCUUACCUGGCCUUGACAUGCAUGUGGUAGAACCAUGAAAGUGGGACGACCCCGCAAGGGGAGCAUGCACAGGUGCUGCAUGGCUGUC